AAUACCACCCUUUAAUGUUUGAUGUUCUAACGUUGGCCCGUAAUCCGGGUUGCGGACAGUGUCUGGUGGGUAGUUUGACUGGGGCGGUCUCCUCCUAAAGAGUAACGGAGGAGCACGAAGGUUGGCUAAUCCUGGUCGGACAUCAGGAGGUUAGUGCAAUGGCAUAAGCCAGCUUGACUGCGAGCGUGACGGCGCGAGCAGGUGCGAAAGCAGGUCAUAGUGAUCCGGUGGUUCUGAAUGGAAGGGCCAUCGCUCAACGGAUAAAAGGUACUCCGGGGAUAACAGGCUGAUACCGCCCAAGAGUUCAUAUCGACGGCGGUGUUUGGCACCUCGAUGUCGGCUCAUCACAUCCUGGGGCUGAAGUAGGUCCCAAGGGUAUGGCUGUUCGCCAUUUAAAGUGGUACGCGAGCUGGGUUUAGAACGUCGUGAGACAGUUCGGUCCCUAUCUGCCGUGGGCGCUGGAGAACUGAGGGGGGCUGCUCCUAGUACGAGAGGACCGGAGUGGACGCAUCACUGGUGUUCGGGUUGUCAUGCCAAUGGCACUGCCCGGUAGCUAAAUGCGGAAGAGAUAAGUGCUGAAAGCAUCUAAGCACGAAACUUGCCCCGAGAUGAGUUCUCCCUGACUCCUUGAGGGUCCUGAAGGAACGUUGAAGACGACGACGUUGAUAGGCCGGGUGUGUAAGCGCAGCGAUGCGUUGAGCUAACCGGUACUAAUGAACCGUGAGGCUUAACCUU
RNAcentral lists this ribosomal RNA (735 nucleotides) under Escherichia coli. RNAcentral describes it as "partial 23S ribosomal RNA". It matches the Rfam family "Bacterial large subunit ribosomal RNA", at positions 2196 to 2925 of the family's 2925-position model. Lineage: Bacteria; Pseudomonadati; Pseudomonadota; Gammaproteobacteria; Enterobacterales; Enterobacteriaceae. The record is from RNAcentral.